This 72-nucleotide transfer RNA is filed under the name Heterocephalus glaber (naked mole-rat). It matches the Rfam family "tRNA". From Rfam's summary of the family: Transfer RNA (tRNA) molecules are approximately 80 nucleotides in length. Their secondary structure includes four short double-helical elements and three loops (D, anti-codon, and T loops). The record is from Rfam by way of RNAcentral. Lineage: Eukaryota; Metazoa; Chordata; Mammalia; Rodentia; Bathyergidae.
AGGGAUGUAGCUCAGUGGUAGAGCACUUGCCUACCAUGCAUGAUGCCCUGGGUUCAAUCCCCAGUAUCACAA